AAGUCGUAACAAGGUCUCCGUUGGUGAACCAGCGGAGGGAUCAUUACCGAGUUUACAACUCCCAAACCCCUGUGAACAUACCUAUCGUUGCUUCGGCGGGUUCGCCCCAGCUUGACACAAGCUGGACCCAGGCGCCCGCCGGAGGACCCAAACUCUUGUUUUUUUGAGUAUCUUCUGAGUAAACAAGCAAAUAAAUUAAAACUUUCAACAACGGAUCUCUUGGUUCUGG
This 229-nucleotide unclassified non-coding RNA is filed under the name fungal sp. RNAcentral describes it as "partial internal transcribed spacer region". The stretch from base 1 to 46 matches the Rfam family "Eukaryotic small subunit ribosomal RNA", at positions 1786 to 1831 of the family's 1831-position model. Lineage: Eukaryota; Fungi. The record is from RNAcentral.